Long non-coding RNA from Aquila chrysaetos chrysaetos, 94 nucleotides. RefSeq lists it as uncharacterized. Lineage: Eukaryota; Metazoa; Chordata; Aves; Accipitriformes; Accipitridae. The transcript has 3 exons. The record is from RefSeq and is a predicted model, not a curated record.
GCAGGUGUGGCUCCUGUGAGGAGCUUCUAGAAGCUUCCCCGGCUCCAGGUGGGACCCGCCGCUGGCCCGGGCCGAGCCCAUCUGCAAAGGUGGU